RNAcentral lists this ribosomal RNA (279 nucleotides) under uncultured bacterium. Its description in RNAcentral is "partial 16S ribosomal RNA". It matches the Rfam family "Bacterial small subunit ribosomal RNA", at positions 506 to 784 of the family's 1533-position model. The record is from RNAcentral.
UGCCAGCCGCCGCGGUAAUACGGAGGGUGCAAGCGUUAAUCGGAAUUACUGGGCGUAAAGCGCGCGUAGGUGGUGAAGUCAGUCAGAUGUGAAAGCCCUGGGCUCAACCUGGGAACUGCAUCUGAUACUGCUUGACUAGAGUAUGGUAGAGGGGUGUGGAAUUUCCUGUGUAGCGGUGAAAUGCGUAGAUAUAGGAAGGAACACCAGUGGCGAAGGCGACACCCUGGACCAAUACUGACACUGAGAUACGAAAGCUAGGGGAGCAAAGGGGAUUAGAUA